CGUUACCCUUUUCUAACGGAAUAGCCGUACGGGAAACUGAGAUUAAUACCGUAUACGCCCGGUAACGGGAAAGAUUUAUCGGAGAAGGAUCAGCCCGCGUAAGAUUAGAUAGUUGGUGGGGUAAUGGCCUACCAAGUCUACGAUCUUUAGCUGGUUUGAGAGGAUGAUCAGCAACACUGGGACUGAGACACGGCCCAGACUCCUACGGGAGGCAGCAGUGGGGAAUAUUGGACAAUGGGCGAAAGCCUGAUCCAGCAAUGCCGCGUGAGUGAUGAAGGCCUUAGGGUUGUAAAGCUCUUUUACCAGGGAUGAUAAUGACAGUACCUGGAGAAUAAGCUCCGGCUAACUCCGUG
Molecule: ribosomal RNA, 353 nt
Filed under: uncultured bacterium
Lineage: Bacteria
Description: bacterial SSU rRNA
Rfam family: Bacterial small subunit ribosomal RNA
Source: RNAcentral